UACAGAGGGGGCAAGCGUUGUUCGGAAUUACUGGGCGUAAAGGGCGCGUAGGCGGCCUGCUAAGUCGAACGUGAAAUCCCCGGGCUCAACCCGGGAACUGCGUCCGAUACUGGUUGGCUUGAAUCCGGGAGAGGGAUGCGGAAUUCCAGGUGUAGCGGUGAAAUGCGUAGAUAUCUGGAGGAACACCGGUGGCGAAGGCGGCAUCCUGGACCGGUAUUGACGCUGAGGCGCGAAAGCCAGGGGAGCAAACGGG
RNAcentral lists this ribosomal RNA (253 nucleotides) under uncultured bacterium. RNAcentral's name for it is "partial 16S ribosomal RNA". It matches the Rfam family "Bacterial small subunit ribosomal RNA", at positions 524 to 776 of the family's 1533-position model. The record is from RNAcentral.